Long non-coding RNA from Xiphophorus couchianus (Monterrey platyfish), 156 nucleotides. RefSeq lists it as uncharacterized. NCBI's taxonomy places the organism in Eukaryota, Metazoa, Chordata, Actinopteri, Cyprinodontiformes, Poeciliidae. The record is from RefSeq and is a predicted model, not a curated record. The transcript is spliced from 3 exons.
GUGAUAUUUUGGUUUCUUUUGUUUUUUAAUAAUGCAUUUUAUAUAUCAAAAUUAAAUCUCAAUGGUAGACCAGGGAUCGAACUGGCGAUCCACAGAUUGCAGGGCAAACUCCUAUAGCCGACGCCACCAUCAUUUAUGAGAGCAUUUGAACAUUAA